Molecule: ribosomal RNA, 445 nt
Filed under: uncultured bacterium
Lineage: Bacteria
Description: partial 16S ribosomal RNA
Rfam family: Bacterial small subunit ribosomal RNA
Source: RNAcentral
GUGAGGAAUAUUGCGCAAUGGAGGCAACUCUGACGCAGCCAUGCCGCGUGCAGGAAGAAGGCGCUACGCGUUGUAAACUGCUUUUAACCGGGAAGAAACCCCAGGACGUGUCCUGGGUUGACGGUACCGGAGGAAUAAGCACCGGCUAACUUCGUGCCAGCAGCCGCGGUAAUACGAAGGGUGCAAGCGUUAUCCGGAUUCAUUGGGUUUAAAGGGUGCGUAGGCGGAGCGUUAAGUCAGUGGUGAAAUCCUGCAGCUUAACUGUAGACUUGCCAUUGAUACUGGCGCUCUUGAGUGCGCUUGAAGUGGGCGGAAUGUGCCGUGUAGCGGUGAAAUGCUUAGAUAUGGCACAGAACACCAAUUGCGAAGGCAGCUCACUAAGGCGAUACUGACGCUGGGGCACGAAAGCGUGGGGAUCGAACAGGAUUAGAAACCCCUGUAGUCC